GGAUCCCAUUUGUAAUUCAGAUGGGUUGCCAGAGAGAGGCCAAAUGUUCUUUUCCUUCCUGACGUAAAAAUUGAUUUAAAAAUCUCAAAUCUCGAGGCCUGUUUUCAGUGCCAAACUGCAGAAUGACUGGCCAGGAAGAUGGAUGGGGUCCCGGUCAUGCAGACUGCCCACCGCUUCUUACUCCAUGAGGAUUCAGCAAUAAAAGAAAAUGAUUCCCAUCAACAAUCUCUGACAGUGAUUUUUAAUAUGCCUCAUCUCCCACUGGCAAGCGUUUUGUUCUGUUUUGUUUUGUGGACUAGAAAGAAUUCCUUAACAGGUUGAGCUUGUGAAAUUAGAGUUGUUUUCUCAAAGGAUUAAAUUCCCAAAUACUCCUGGAAAUAAAGGCACACUAUAAUGAAAUUCUUGCUUUUCAUUAAAAGAGAAUUAAACCAAUGACCUUUUACAUAUUUUUGUCUUUUGUUUUGUAUUCCAAACGAUUGGGGUUUGAUUGCAUUAUAUUAUUUAAGUUCCCGGAUGUUUAAAUAUUUAAUAUACAUAACUCUUCAUAGACACCCAAAGAUGUCUGCCCACAUUCUUUCAAUGCUAUAGAAGUUAAGAAGGGCAAAUUCACCAGCUAAAUUACACA
Molecule: long non-coding RNA, 625 nt
Filed under: Bos taurus (domestic cattle)
Lineage: Eukaryota; Metazoa; Chordata; Mammalia; Artiodactyla; Bovidae
Description: long non-coding RNA NONBTAT005840
Source: RNAcentral